UGGGGAAUAUUGCACAAUGGGCGGAAGCCUGAUGCAGCGACGCCGCGUGAGGGAUGACGGCCUUCGGGUUGUAAACCUCUUUCAGUAGGGACGAAGCGUAAGUGACGGUACCUGCAGAAGAAGCACCGGCUAACUACGUGCCAGCAGCCGCGGUAAUACGUAGGGUGCGAGCGUUGUCCGGAAUUACUGGGCGUAAAGAGCUCGUAGGCGGUUUGUCACGUCGUCUGUGAAAUCAUAGGGCUUAACCCUGGACGUGCAGGCGAUACGGGCUGACUUGAGUACUACAGGGGAGACUGGAAUUUCUGGUGUAGCGGUGGAAUGCACAGAUAUCAGGAAGAACACCGAUGGCGAAGGCAGGUCUCUGGGUAGUAACUGACGCUGAGGAGCGAAAGCAUGGGUAGCGAACAGG
RNAcentral lists this ribosomal RNA (409 nucleotides) under Verrucomicrobiota bacterium. RNAcentral describes it as "Verrucomicrobia bacterium partial 16S ribosomal RNA". It matches the Rfam family "Bacterial small subunit ribosomal RNA", at positions 355 to 776 of the family's 1533-position model. Lineage: Bacteria; Pseudomonadati; Verrucomicrobiota. The record is from RNAcentral.